UACGUAGGGGGCGAGCGUUGUCCGGAUUCAUUGGGCGUAAGGAGCUCGUAGGCGGCUUAGCAAGUCGGGUGUAAAACCUCCAGGCUUAACCUGGAGAGGCCACCCGAUACUGCUAUGGCUAGAGUCCGGUAGGGGACCACGGAAUUCCUGGUGUAGCGGUGAAAUGCGCAGAUAUCAGGAGGAACACCAGCGGCGAAGGCGGCGCUCUGGGCCGGUACUGACACUGAGGAGCGAAAGCGUGGGUAGCAAACAGG
Molecule: ribosomal RNA, 254 nt
Filed under: uncultured bacterium
Lineage: Bacteria
Description: partial 16S ribosomal RNA
Rfam family: Bacterial small subunit ribosomal RNA
Source: RNAcentral